CUUCCCGCACCCGGCCUUAGCAGGACAUCUGGCCAGGCUCGGUCUCCUGCUUCCGCCCCCACGGAGGAAUCCUCACGAAGUUGAGGCGCAAGCUCUUCGUCUGCAGUCAACCGCACGCCGACGCCCCCUCCCCGCCCUGACCCGCCGAACUCUUGCUGUCGCCCCACCUUCCCAGGGCAGGCGUUUAGCAGAUUAUCAACUUCGGACCCUGUUGGUCACCUGGGCGCUCAGCUCCCGAGCAUCGAUCAUCGGAGGCCGGGAUGCUUUGAAUAUACCCAAAACUCUCGAGUGAGACUGUCCAGAUUCAAAUGCUGGCUCUACCACUUAUUAGGUCUGUAACCUUAGCCGUGGUUCGAUACCUGGUGGGGGAAGAUCCCACAUGCCGUGGAACAACUAAGCCCAUGCGCCACAACUACUGAGCCCGCACGGCACAGCUACUGAAGCCCACAUGCCUAGAGCCUGCGCUCCGCAACAAGAGAAGCCACUGCAAUGAGAAGCCCGCACACCACAACGAAGAGUAGCCCCCGCUCGCCGCAACUAGAGAAAGCCUGUGUGCAACAACAAACACCCAAUGUGGCCAAAAAUAAAUAAAUAAAUAAUAAAUUAAUUAAAAAAAGAAAAAUUAGAAACUGGCUGUUCGUUUUCCAAAGUGUCUGUACCAUUUUGCAUUCCCACCAGCGAUGUAUGAGAGUUCUGGUUGGUAUCCUGCUCUGUGUCUUGGCCAGUACUUGGUGUUGUCAGUUUUGUCGUUUUUGUUUUGCGUGCCGGUCCAUUAGGUUGUGUGGUGCUAUCUCACUGUGGUUUUAAUUUGUGUUUCCCUAAUGACUAAUGAUGCUGAGUAUCUUUUCAUGUGCUUCUUGGCCAUUCACAUAUCUUCUUUGGUGAAGUGUCUGUUCAAAUAUCUUGGCCUUUUAAAAACUGGGUGGGUUUAUUUUCUUAUUAUUGUGUUUUAAGAGUUCUUUAAAUAUUCUAGAUAUAAGUCCUUUAUCAGAUAUGUGAUUUGAAAAUAUUUUCUCCCAGUCUGUGGCUUACUUAUAUUUUCAUUCCUCUAACUGCAUUUUUCCAAGAGCAGAAAUUCUUAAUUUUGCAGUCAUUUUUAAAACAAUUUAUUUAUUUAUUUAUUUAUUUGUCUGUGCUGGGUCUUAGUGGCAGCAUGUGGGAUCUUCAUUGUGGCACAUGGAAUCUUCAGUUGUGGCAUGCGGGAUCUAGGUCCCUGACCAGGGAUCAAACCCAGGCCCCCUGCAUUGGGAGCAUGGAGUCUUAGACACA
This 1269-nucleotide long non-coding RNA is filed under the name Delphinapterus leucas (beluga whale). RNAcentral describes it as "lncRNA (ENSDLEG00000021783.1)". The record is from RNAcentral. Lineage: Eukaryota; Metazoa; Chordata; Mammalia; Artiodactyla; Monodontidae.